RNAcentral lists this ribosomal RNA (253 nucleotides) under uncultured bacterium. Its description in RNAcentral is "partial 16S ribosomal RNA". It matches the Rfam family "Bacterial small subunit ribosomal RNA", at positions 524 to 776 of the family's 1533-position model. The record is from RNAcentral.
UACGGAGGGGGCGAGCGUUAUUCGGAAUUAUUGGGCGUAAAGGGCGCGUAGGCGGCUGAACAAGUCAAAGGUGAAAUCCCUCGGCUCAACUGAGGAACUGCCUUUGAAACUGUUCGGCUUGAGGCCGGGAGGGGGUAGCGGAAUUCCCAGUGUAGCGGUGAAAUGCGUAGAUAUUGGGAGGAACACCAGUGGCGAAGGCGGCUACCUGGACCGGUUCUGACGCUGAGGUGCGAAAGCGUGGGGAGCAGACAGG